RNAcentral lists this RNase P RNA (280 nucleotides) under Clostridiaceae bacterium. RNAcentral's name for it is "RNase P RNA component class A". It matches the Rfam family "Bacterial RNase P class A", at positions 63 to 367 of the family's 367-position model. Rfam says of the family: Ribonuclease P (RNase P) is a ubiquitous endoribonuclease, found in archaea, bacteria and eukarya as well as chloroplasts and mitochondria. Its best characterised activity is the generation of mature 5'-ends of tRNAs by cleaving the 5'-leader elements of precursor-tRNAs. Lineage: Bacteria; Bacillati; Bacillota; Clostridia; Eubacteriales; Clostridiaceae. The record is from RNAcentral.
AGGGCAGGAUGCCGGAUAACGUCCGGUGGAGGUGACUCCCAGGCUAGUGCAACAGAAAAGAACCGCCAGAAUAUCUGGUAAGGGUGAAAAGGCGAGGUAAGAGCUCACCGCGUUUCUGGUAACAGAAGCGGCAGAUGUAAACCCCAUCCGAAGCAAGACCGAACAGGAAUAAUACGGCUGCCCGUCGUGUUCCGGGUAGGUUGCUUGAGCCUGGCAGUAAUGUCAGGUCUAGAUAGAUGAUCGUCAAAUACAGAACUCGGCUUAUAGUGUUACUCAUUUG